UGCUGUGAGGCAUGCUGGAGGUAUCAGAAGUGCGAAUGCUGACAUAAGUAACGAUAAAGCGGGUGAAAAGCCCGCUCGCCGGAAGACCAAGGGUUCCUGUCCAACGUUAAUCGGGGCAGGGUGAGUCGACCCCUAAGGCGAGGCCGAAAGGCGUAGUCGAUGGGAAACAGGUUAAUAUUCCUGUACUUGGUGUUACUGCGAAGGGGGGACGGAGAAGGCUAUGUUGGCCGGGCGACGGUUGUCCCGGUUUAAGCGUGUAGGCUGGUUUUCCAGGCAAAUCCGGAAAAUCAAGGCUGAGGCGUGAUGACGAGGCACUACGGUGCUGAAGCAACAAAUGCCCUGCUUCCAGGAAAAGCCUCUAAGCAUCAGGUAACAUCAAAUCGUACCCCAAACCGACACAGGUGGUCAGGUAGAGAAUACCAAGGCGCUUGAGAGAACUCGGGUGAAGGAACUAGGCAAAAUGGUGCCGUAACUUCGGGAGAAGGC
RNAcentral lists this ribosomal RNA (486 nucleotides) under Escherichia coli. RNAcentral describes it as "partial 23S ribosomal RNA". It matches the Rfam family "Bacterial large subunit ribosomal RNA", at positions 1259 to 1747 of the family's 2925-position model. Lineage: Bacteria; Pseudomonadati; Pseudomonadota; Gammaproteobacteria; Enterobacterales; Enterobacteriaceae. The record is from RNAcentral.